This 4873-nucleotide long non-coding RNA is filed under the name Podarcis lilfordi (Lilford's wall lizard). The record is from RNAcentral. Lineage: Eukaryota; Metazoa; Chordata; Lepidosauria; Squamata; Lacertidae.
GCUAAGGGGAAAGCCCUUUUUUAUUUCCAACAGGACACACCUGGCAAUGGAUGUGACAUUCAGCACUGCCCAGGUUUCUUCCACUUGGAGGAGGCAAACUGGUGAAUGGAAGGAGGCAAUCCUCUGGCAGUGGGAUGCUAGGGAGUGAUAAUAAGGCAAGUUUGCUUGUUUGAAGGCUGCUGGUAUCCGUGGUUGGAAGCUGGCGGACGUCUCAUGAUGGAGCUAACAGUAGCUUCUGGCACAAUGGGACACCAUGAUAGAGGCCAGAGUGCAUGGAAACACCAUUUACCUUCCUGCCACAGUAGUACCUAUUUAUCUACUUGCGCUGGUGUGGUUUCAAACUUCUAGGUAGGCAGAAGCUGGGACGGAGCAACGGGAGCUCACCCCAUUGCGCAGAUUUGAACUGCCAACCUUCCGAUCAGCAAGCCCAAGAGACUCAGUGGUUGACACCACAGCACCACCCGCUCCCCUACAAAGUUGUGGACCAGACUGCCAUCCUCAGCCAGGCACAGAAAGACAUGUUGGAAAGAUCAAAGCAGUAGGACUGAGCAGUAGGAUUAAGGUUGGAAGCCCAUGGCCACCACCAGAGUCCUCUUAAACAGUAGCUGUCGCGCUAUGACAACAAGUAGGGGUGGUGGGUCUCCCUUGGUACACCUAGAACUCAAGUAUUGUCUUCCUCUUGGUGACUUCUUGCCACUUAUGCCAUGAAGGUGCUGUUUUGUGCAGACCAACAGCAGGGACAGAAGAACUCUGGGUGGGGUGAAUUUUUAACACUCCACUGUAACCGUGGACUUUUCCAGAUAAUAAAUAAAUAAAUAAAUUACACCAGCCACUCUGGAUGGCUUCCAACAAAAUACAGCUUCACAGUUUCAUCCUAAAACAUCUUCUCUUCAGUUUGCUCCAUGGAGUGCAAUCGAAGGGUAAAAAAUUUGCAAGAUCUCUCACCGCUCAGCUUAAAACAGGAGUGCCCAAACUUUUUUCAAAGAGGGCCAGAUUUGAUGAAGUGAACAUGCAUGAGGGCCGACCAAAGGUGUUGAGCUUUUUUUUAGGAUUGAAGUUGUUGAACUUUUUUUUAAGGAUUUUACACCAAAGUUGUUAACCUUUGUUGUUGUUAACCCAGAGAAGGAACCGCCUGGACAUGCCUGGCUUAAAAUCUCUCCUUCCCAAUGCUGCGUUUCAGCAGGAAAGAUGGUGCCCAUGGCCAUAUUGACCUGUGGACGCGGGUGGUGCUGUGGGUUAAACCACAGGGCCCAGGACUUGCCAAUCAAAAGGUCGGCGGUUCGAAUCCCCGCGACGGGUUGAACUCCCAUUGCUUGGUCCCUGCUCCUGCCAACCUAGCAGUUCAAAAGCACAUCAAAGUGCAAGUAGAUAAAUAGAUACCGCUCCAGCGGGAAGGUAAACGACAUUUCCGUGCACUACUCUGGUUCGCCACAUGCUGGCCACAUGACCCGGAAGCUGUACGCCAGCUCCCUCAGUGAAUAAAGCAAGCUGCAACCCCAGAGUGAGUGAGUGCUGCAACCCCAGAGUCAGCCACGACUGGACCUAAUGGUCAGGGGUCCCUUUACCUUUUUACCUGCUCAGUCUACUGCCCAGGUGUUGCAGUCGGGCAACUUCAAGGUCCCUGCUCUCUGUUCUUGUGGUUCUUUAGCUUGAAACUGAACUUGGAUUGAGCAACCUUUCAAUACCAUUGUCCUGUGUAAAAUAGGACACAUGAUCAUCUUAUUUUGAGAGCAUCUGAAGAAUUCUCAAAUCCAUUGUGGGAACUUAGUGCGUCACAUUCCACCCCACCCCCCAAAAAAGUGAUAUCGGCUUCUUCUUUUUUUCUUGCAGAGUACAGGUUUCUUACUGGGCAGUAUGAAAGAACAGUAAAAAAGGGUAAUUGCCAUCAAAGCUGGAAGUUUGUCAAAUGGAAAUGUUGUAAAAAACAGGCCAGACUGCAGCCGCCUGGCCUUUAAAAGUGCUCCUGUUGCUUGAUAGAGGAAGACAAACAAUUCUCCUUCUCCUUUUUGCACAAAGAAAGGUUCCACUGUGUUUCCCUUCCCCAUUAAAGGUUUUUCACACCACAGGGCAGGCAGGGGCGCUACUAGUGAAAUAAGAGCUCUUUGUGCUCCUCUUCACUUUUAUGAAUUUGAUCCUCUACUGUAAAAGUCUAGAAGAGUUUCCCUACUGGCUUUCACUAGACUGUGAUUUCUGUUUCUUAAAAAUGCCUCCACAGAGUGGAUUUUAUUUUAUUUUUUAAAUGAUAUCUAUUAAAGUUUCAAAGAAUACAAAAACAAAAAAUAAAAAUACAAGAAAAUACAAAAUACAGAAAAAAGAAUAAAGUUUUUAAGAUAUAGCAAAAAAAAGAAAAAUGAAGAAAAACAUACAAGAUAAAAACAGUUAAAAACAUGUUAACUUUCCAUAGCAUAUCUUCCUUACACUUAUUUCCCCGGACUCCUCAUACCUCCCUUUUUUGUAUUCCAGUUCAGUUUGUUAGUUCAGCAAAUCCUUACCAUUAAGCUUUACCCAUUUGUAAACCUUUUUUCAUAUCUCUUAAAGCAUUACAGCUGGAAACCACUUAGUUUCUAUCCAACAUCCUUCUAAGAUUCCUUAAUUUUACAAUAUUUCUGUAAAUAAUCUUUAAAUAUCUUCCAAUCUUCUUUCACCGACUCUUCUCCCUGGUCUCGGAUUCUGCCAGUCAUUUCUGCCAAUUCCAUGUAGUCAAUCACCUUCAUCUGCCAUUCUUCCAGAGUGGGUAGAUCUCACAGAGUGGAUUUUAUUGUGAUCAGUGCAUACGGACGUUGUUCCCCUUUAUAGGUGAUAUACAAGAGCAGAUCAAUAUAUCUAAAGCAGGGAAAAUUUACUCUUGGAAAGCUGCAGGUUGUUGUAUUUGGAUCAUUUCCAUAGCUAUUUUUGAAGCUAAAUAAAUAGAUUUGGGGCUGGCGUGUAAGUGGGAGUGAUAUUGUGCUAACACUUCAUUAGCAGAGAGGCUGUCUCUCUCCAGUGCCUUUUAUCUGAGGAAUAAGCUCACAAUAAUCUGCUAUCAAAGGAAAGGAAAUUUCCACAGCCCACUACAGAUAACCUUUUUUAAAAAAGAAGAUGAAGAAGAGUUGCAUCAUCAUCAUCAUUAUUAUUAUUAUUAUUAUUAUUAUUAUUAUUAUUUUAAGCCCAUUUAAUUUGUAUUAUUUUAAGAAAGAAAAACAAUGGGUUGGUAUCUAUGAAAGGGACAUCCUUGAUUUUCCAGGGACAUCCCCAAUUUAGAGAAGUCAUCCCAGUUUCUGAUCUGAUCCUGGAAUUUCCCACUUUUCCUUAGAUGUCCCUAUUUUCAUGGGAGAAAUGUUGGAGGGUAUGGAGUUAUCCAACCCCCGAGCUGCCUGAAGGCAAUCUGGUAUACAAAAGGUUUUUUAAAAAAUGUUUUAUUACAUUUUUAUGUAUGUUGGAAGCUGCCCAGUAUGGCUGGGGCAAACCAGUAGUAUGCGUGGGGUAGAAGUAGUAGAAUUAUCAUUAUGGAAUGGGACGUCCCUAUUUUCAACAGAGAAAUGUUGGAGGGUUUGAUAACCGCUUAUGUGCUUUUAGCGAUAUCUAUAUUUGUUUUAAAUUUUGUGAGCUGCCUUUACUCCCAUUUCUGGGGGAAAGGCAGGAUAAAAAUAAAAAAAAUAAUAAAAAAAAUAAAAUAAAUAAAAAAAAUAAAAUAAAACACUAUUAGAGAAAAAGCAACAAUUAAACUUGUGGGUGCAUUUACAGUGGUACCUUGGGUUAAGAACUUAAUUUGUUCUGGAGGUCCGUUCUUAACCUAAAACUGUUCUUAACCUGAGGUACCACUUUAGCUAAUGGGGCCUCCCGCUGCUGCCGCGCCGCCGGAGCACGAUUUCUGUUCUCAUCCUGAAGCAAAGUUCUUAACCCGAGGUACUAUUUCUGGGUUAGCAGAGUCUGUAACCUGACGUGUCCGUAACCCAAGGUACCACUGUACAAUGACCUGGUUUGUGUGUCAUGUUCAAACCUAGUCACAUUAAUGUUAGCCAACCAUAGUUUACCUUGGCUACCAGUUAUGGUUUGUUUAAACCCAGUUUUGAGUGACAUGCGAAGUCUAGCUUUAUGGUUUGUUGCUCCUGGUCCAGCCAGAAGCUGGAGGGAGGCAAAGCAACCACCUUUGAGUAAUAUGCACCAGCACACUGCUUGUUCAGGCAUUAACUAUAGUUUACGGUGACAUGCAAACCAUUAUAGAUGCUAAUAGGCAGGAAUAUCUCAGUUGACUUUGAAAGACUUUACGCCGGAGCCUGAAUAUUUAAUAGCUGGAUCCUCCAACUUUUCUUGUCAUGGGAAGAUAAAUUAUGGCACCAAUUUCUGGCUUUCUAAUAAAUGCUGUGAUGGUCCAAGCUAAUCUUGGCUGAACCCUUUGCAACUGGACUUCGGAGAUCUGACAUUUGAGACCAAGUAGCCUGCUGUUGUAUUAGCAGUAAAAAAUCUCAGAGGAGUAGACUUGGGGUUUUGUUUCUGUUUUUAAUGUUUUAAAAGAGAUCAAAUUAUAACAUGAGAAUUCCUGAUGGUCUUUCAGGAUGGUGGCCAGCCAAGAAUGCUCCAGGGAAAGAAAGAAAUUAAUAUUGGCAAUGGUAAUAAUUCACACAAGGACUUCCUUCUAAAUCGAGGCUUCCAAAAACAAUUCCAAAAGAGGCAUCUCUGGAAAGAAAGGAGAGGAAAGAGUGAAAACUGGGAAAUAGACCUCCUAGCCAGACUGAAGACUUGGAUGAUGCGUUCCAAGUAGUAAGCACUCUGGGUGGAGAAGAUGGAGAAAAGCUACUGGGUGACAGAAAAAAAGGCUCAACACCUACCUUGCCACUGUCUUUAUCCAAAAGGAAAGCACUGGUAAUAACAGUGCUUUCUGUUAGCACCAGAC